This 521-nucleotide ribosomal RNA is filed under the name uncultured Diversispora. RNAcentral's name for it is "SSU rRNA". It matches the Rfam family "Eukaryotic small subunit ribosomal RNA", at positions 571 to 1092 of the family's 1831-position model. Lineage: Eukaryota; Fungi; Glomeromycota; Glomeromycetes; Diversisporales; Diversisporaceae. The record is from RNAcentral.
CAGCCCGGUAAUUCCAGCUCCAAUAGCGUAUAUUAAAGUUGUUGCAGUUAAAAAGCUCGUAGUUGAACUUCGGGGUCUACCCAUUGGUCAGGCUUAAUUGUCUGCACUGGUGAGAUGGAUCUCUACCUUCUGAGGAACUUUCAUGCCAUUUAUUUGGUGUGAUUGGAAAUCAGGACUGUUACUUUGAAAAAAUUAGAGUGUUUAAAGCAGACUAUCGUCUGAAUACAUUAGCAUGGAAUAAUGAAAUAGGACGGACUGAUUCUAUUUCGUUGGUUUCUAGGAUCACCGUAAUGAUUAAUAGGGAUAGUUGGGGGCAUUAGUAUUCAAUUGUCAGAGGUGAAAUUCUUGGAUUUAUUGAAGACUAACUACUGCGAAAGCAUUUGCCAAGGAUGUUUUCAUUAAUCAAGAACGAAAGUUAGGGGAUCGAAGACGAUCAGAUACCGUCGUAGUCUUAACCAUAAACUAUGCCGACUAGGGAUCGGACGAAGUUAAUUUUAUAAUGACGCGUUCGGCACCUUACG